RNAcentral lists this ribosomal RNA (402 nucleotides) under uncultured Eubacteriales bacterium. RNAcentral's name for it is "uncultured Clostridiales bacterium partial 16S ribosomal RNA". It matches the Rfam family "Bacterial small subunit ribosomal RNA", at positions 355 to 774 of the family's 1533-position model. The record is from RNAcentral. Lineage: Bacteria; Bacillati; Bacillota; Clostridia; Eubacteriales.
UGGGGAAUAUUGCACAAUGGGCGCAAGCCUGAUGCAGCGACGCCGCGUGAAGGAAGAAGAUUUUCGGAUUGUAAACUUCUAUCAGCAGGGAAGAUGAUGACAGUACCUGACUAAGAAGCCCCGGCUAACUACGUGCCAGCAGCCGCGGUAAUACGUAGGGGGCAAGCGUUAUCCGGAUUUACUGGGUGUAAAGGGUGUGUAGGCGGCUUGAUAAGUCAGAUGUGAAAGCCCGUGGCUCAACCACGGGACUGCAUUUGAAACUGUCAAGCUAGAGUACAGGAGAGGCAAGUGGAAUUCCUAGUGUAGCGGUAAAAUGCGUAGAUAUUAGGAGGAACACCGGUGGCGAAGGCGACUUGCUGGACUGUAACUGACGCUGAGGCACGAAAGCGUGGGGAGCAAACA